Non-coding RNA from Poecilia reticulata (guppy), 1300 nucleotides. NCBI's taxonomy places the organism in Eukaryota, Metazoa, Chordata, Actinopteri, Cyprinodontiformes, Poeciliidae. The record is from RefSeq and is a predicted model, not a curated record.
UUUAUAUAUAUGUGUGGUUUCUUGUAGAUGUGUUUUAUAUAUGUGUGGUUUCCUUAUUUGUAGAUGUGUGUUAUAUGCAUGUAUGUACAUAUUUCUUUUUCAACAAAAAUUAAAAAUAUAAACUUAUGCGUUGUGCUUGGUGUAUUUUUAUUUCUGGGUUAUUUUUUAUAAUCUAUUAGGGAGGGGCUUAACCAGGCCUGUAAUAAUAAAGGUCUAGUGUGUCCAAUAGGGAGAUGUCUACCAACAAAUCACAUGUAAGUAAUGAAUUGUGAUGUCAUUGUUUUUUCAUCCAAUUUGAGAAUUCACGUGGGUCUCCUGUUGCUAUUCACAUGUUAAGUAGAGUCGUUAAGCUGUUAACACCCCCCCGCACUUCCCCCACACCUCCCCAUCUCUCCUCCCCCCCUUGGAGGAUUCCGCAUUCGACAGCAUUCAACUGUGGCUGGCGAAACUGCGCUGCCCUGCCAACUGUCGAUUGCCGUCGAUAUCUGUCACUGACUAGCUGCAUUCGCGUCAGAAUACAGGGUCAAAAAUCCCACUUUUCAUCCAGUGACUGUCCUGAAGACCUGGGUGGACAGAGCCUUCACUUCCACUGUCCCCAAGCUCUGGGACACUGUCUCCACGAUCAUUAGAUCUGCUGACAGUGUGGACAGUUUGAAGUCCAAGUUUAGCACCAACUUUUUAAAAUGUCUACUGGUGAUUCUGAUGUUACUGGUCUUCAUCCUUGUAGUUCAUCUUCCUCUUUUAACUUUCUUAUAUGUUCUUGUUUUUCUGCUUUAAGGAAUUUUAAUGUGAAACUUCAGUAUUUUAUUAGUAAAUAUUGCUGGAUGAAUAUUUCCUGCCUUCCUGAUUGUUCCUGGUUCCUCCACAGAGUGGAUCAGCAGAGCUCAGAGGUUACCAGUGGUCCGUCUGCCCAGCAGCAUCAAACACAGCUGGACUCCAUAUUUAUGGAUGAACAGAAGAAGAUCCAAAUAGUUCUGAGCCUAGAAGACCCACAAUGCUCAACAAGUCAGAGUGAGGAUGAGGAGGUUAUGGAGGGUGAGAACGAAGAACAGAGGAGGAGCAGCAGAGAGGCAGUGAUGAAGAUCACACUGAACUUACUGAAGAGGAUGAAGGAGGAGGAGCUGGCUGACCCUCUGCAGAGCACACAUCUUGCUGGUUUUUGCCAACAUCAAAUUAAAUCUGGUCUGAAGAAGAAGGUCCAGUCUGUGUUUGAGGGGAUUGCUAAAGCAGGAAGUCCAACCCUUCUGAACCAGAUCUACACAGAGCUCUACGUCACAGAGGGAGGGACUGGAGAGGUCAA